CGGAGGCGAAAUGAUCCGGGAGCCGUGCGCAGUAACGUGGGGUUCCGCGGCGUGGAGCCCGGGACCGCUGCGAGCCUGCACAGACUGAUUUCCUCCCACCACCGCCUUCUCCUUUCGCUCUGCGUGGGCUACACGGUGGGACUGCAGCGGCGAAAGCGACUUAAGUCCGGGCGCACUUAUCUAACCUGCUGGCGACCCUGAAAAGCAGCCGCGUAACAAAGGGAUCAAGGCUUUUUCUGCAAAAUAGCUGCAGAAUGUAAACCGCAGAAUAUAAACCGAGGCUGCUGGCAUUUCCCUUGGAGUUCUACUGGAUACCUGAAAACUUCAUUAUGGAUUUCAUCUCUGGGAACACGUGAGUUCCUGUGGCUCCGCAGCCAGGACAUAGAAACAGCACUGGUGGGUGAUUGCAUUGAUCCAGAUUUGGAAGUUGUGUGGCAGUGGAGAAGCAAGAAGUAAUUUCUACACAAGCAUUGUAGAGUUCUACAGUGAGAAAGCAGCAUCUCUGACUGCCUGAACUAUUCUGGAAUUACCUCUCUCACCACUUGGGAAACCUACCAGGACACCAGUGGCCAGUGGACUUCUAGACAUAUGCUUCUUGCCCAAGAGCCUCCAUGUGGUUCUAGAACCAGUCCCACACAAAGGAAUGAGUACAGUUGCCUAGGAGGCAGGCCACUGUGGAAGUCAUACUUGUGAAAGGAACUCAGCUGCCAAGUAGUGAAGACUUCAGGUGGAGGAUGAAUUGAGUCAGUUCCUGAUCUCUCAGGAAGAAAUGGUAAAGCCUCAGGAUGCAGCCAAAAUGACCAGAGAUGGAUAUUUAACUGAAGGUGGACACCUUCUCUGCAGGAGUCCCCUCUCCCAGGAAUGCAAUGAGAUGGAGAAAGCUGACUGCAGGAAAUCAGGCAAGGAGGUCAAGUUGAUUCAGAGGCUGAUGCUAGUGUUGGCUGUAUGUGAGUGGACAAGUGACUAGAAGACAUUACCAGGCAGAGGGGAGGGGGUGGGAAAUAAAGGCAGCACUCCCAGAGAAACAAGGAAGAGAUCGAGAGCCAGAGAGAGGUGUGGAUUAGCAGACAGAGGAGGGAGGAGAGGGGAAGAGUUGUGAGUGGAAUAAGAGGGAGAGAGGGGAGUGAUGAGAGUGGGCCCAGGAGAUGGCACCCAGAUAACGUGAAUUUCAGUGAGGUGCCGCUGUGCAUCCUGCAGGAAAUUUCAGUGUGAUUCCCCUGUAUCCUUGUAAUAACCCUCUCUAUUUCCUUAUUUUAGUUGUUUCUUACAACCUUUACCCUAAGGUAACUAUUCUUCUACCAACUCCUCAAACUCAUCCUGAAUGAUUUCAUCCACUUUUUUUUUCCAGUUUAAAGUAUUUUUCUUCAGUGUAAUACUUGCAUAUAGUUUAAAAAAAAGAAAGAGUACCAAAGGCUUAGAAUGAUAAGCAGAAGUCUCUAUGCC
Long non-coding RNA from Camelus dromedarius (Arabian camel), 1443 nucleotides. RefSeq lists it as uncharacterized. The transcript has 7 exons. NCBI's taxonomy places the organism in Eukaryota, Metazoa, Chordata, Mammalia, Artiodactyla, Camelidae. The record is from RefSeq and is a predicted model, not a curated record.